GUGCGCCUACGGGGGGCAGCAGUGAGGAAUAUUGGUCAAUGGUCGGGAGACUGAACCAGCCAAGCCGCGUGAGGGAGGAAGGUACAGAGUAUCGUAAACCUCUUUUGUCAGGGAACAAAGACUGGGACGCGUCCCCGGAUGAGUGUACCUGAAGAAAAGGCAUCGGCUAACUCCGUGCCAGCAGCCGCGGUAAUACGGAGGGUGCGAGCGUUAUCCGGAUUUAUUGGGUUUAAAGGGUGCGCAGGCGGUCUGUUAAGCCAGCGGCCAAAGCCCGGGGCUCAACCCCGGCCCGCCGUUGAAACUGG
Molecule: ribosomal RNA, 305 nt
Filed under: uncultured bacterium
Lineage: Bacteria
Description: bacterial SSU rRNA
Rfam family: Bacterial small subunit ribosomal RNA
Source: RNAcentral